RNAcentral lists this ribosomal RNA (253 nucleotides) under uncultured bacterium. RNAcentral's name for it is "partial 16S ribosomal RNA". It matches the Rfam family "Bacterial small subunit ribosomal RNA", at positions 524 to 776 of the family's 1533-position model. The record is from RNAcentral.
UACGUAGGGGGCUAGCGUUGCUCGGAAUCACUGGGCGUAAAGCGCACGUAGGCGGCCUCUUAAGUCGGUGGUGAAAUCCUGGAGCUCAACUCCAGAACUGCCUUCGAUACUGGGAGUCUCGAGUUCGGGAGAGGUGAGUGGAACUUCGAGUGUAGAGGUGAAAUUCGUAGAUAUUCGCAAGAACACCAGUGGCGAAGGCGGCUCACUGGCCCGAUACUGACGCUGAGGUGCGAAAGCGUGGGGAGCAAACAGG